GAAUUCCCAGUGUAAGAGGUGAANUUUCGUNGNUAUUNGGAGGAAUANCAGUNGCGAAGGGCGACCAUCUGGACGGGAUACUGACGCUGAGGCGCGAAAGCGUGGGUAGCAAACAGGAUUAGAUACCCUGGUAGUCCACGCCGUAAACGAUGGAUACCAGUUGUUGUGGGUAUUGACCCCUACAGUGACGCAGCUAACGCAAUAAGUAUCCCGCCUGGGAAGUACGGCCGCAAGGCUA
This 238-nucleotide ribosomal RNA is filed under the name uncultured bacterium. RNAcentral describes it as "partial 16S ribosomal RNA". It matches the Rfam family "Bacterial small subunit ribosomal RNA", at positions 664 to 896 of the family's 1533-position model. The record is from RNAcentral.